GUGCCAGCCGCCGCGGUAACACGUAGGGGGCGAGCGUUGUCCGGAUUUAUUGGGCGUAAAGAGCUCGUAGGCGGCUCGGUAAGUCGGGUGUGAAAUUUCGAGGCUUAACCUCGAAACGCCACCCGAUACUGCUGUGGCUAGAGUCCGGUAGGGGAGCGUGGAAUUCCUGGUGUAGCGGUGAAAUGCGCAGAUAUCAGGAGGAACACCAGCGGCGAAGGCGGCGCUCUGGGCCGGUACUGACGCUGAGGAGCGAAAGCGUGGGGAUCAAACAGGAUUAGAUACCCGAGUAGUCC
RNAcentral lists this ribosomal RNA (293 nucleotides) under uncultured bacterium. RNAcentral's name for it is "partial 16S ribosomal RNA". It matches the Rfam family "Bacterial small subunit ribosomal RNA", at positions 505 to 796 of the family's 1533-position model. The record is from RNAcentral.